UCGUUAGCUCAGUUGGCUAGAGCACCUGACUUUUAAUCAGGGUGUCAUGGGUUCGAGUCCCGUAC
RNAcentral lists this transfer RNA (65 nucleotides) under bovine gut metagenome. It matches the Rfam family "tRNA", at positions 6 to 65 of the family's 71-position model. Rfam says of the family: Transfer RNA (tRNA) molecules are approximately 80 nucleotides in length. Their secondary structure includes four short double-helical elements and three loops (D, anti-codon, and T loops). Further hydrogen bonds mediate the characteristic L-shaped molecular structure. tRNAs have two regions of fundamental functional importance: the anti-codon, which is responsible for specific mRNA codon recognition, and the 3' end, to which the tRNAs corresponding amino acid is attached (by aminoacyl-tRNA synthetases). tRNAs cope with the degeneracy of the genetic code in two manners: having more than one tRNA (with a specific anti-codon) for a particular amino acid; and 'wobble' base-pairing, i.e. permitting non-standard base-pairing at the 3rd anti-codon position. The record is from RNAcentral.